AGAGUUUGAUCCUGGCUCAGGACGAACGCUGGCGGCGUGCUUAACACAUGCAAGUCGAACGGAAAGGCCCUGCUUGCAGGGUGCUCGAGUGGCGAACGGGUGAGUAACACGUGGGUGAUCUGCCCUGCACUUCGGGAUAAGCUUGGGAAACUGGGUCUAAUACCGGAUAGGACUACGGCAUGCAUGUGCUGUGGUGGAAAGUUUGUAACGGUGUGGGAUGGGCCCGCGGCCUAUCAGCUUGUUGGUGGGGUGAUGGCCUACCAAGGCGACGACGGGUAGCCGGCCUGAGAGGGUGUCCGGCCACACUGGGACUGAGAUACGGCCCAGACUCCUACGGGAGGCAGCAGUGGGGAAUAUUGCACAAUGGGCGCAAGCCUGAUGCAGCGACGCCGCGUGGGGGAUGACGGCCUUCGGGGUUGUAAACCUCUUUCACCAUCGACGAAGGCCCGCUUUGGGUGGGUUGACGGUAGGUGGAGAAGAAGCACCGGCCAACUACGUGCCAGCAGCCGCGGUAAUACGUAGGGUGCGAGCGUUGUCCGGAAUUACUGGGCGUAAAGAGCUCGUAGGUGGUUUGUCGCGUUGUUCGUGAAAUUCCCUGGCUUAACUGGGGGCGUGCGGGCGAUACGGGCAGACUGGAGUACUGCAGGGGAGACUGGAAUUCCUGGUGUAGCGGUGGAAUGCGCAGAUAUCAGGAGGAACACCGGUGGCGAAGGCGGGUCUCUGGGCAGUAACUGACGCUGAGGAGCGAAAGCGUGGGGAGCGAACAGGAUUAGAUACCCCGGUAGUCC
This 788-nucleotide ribosomal RNA is filed under the name uncultured bacterium. Its description in RNAcentral is "bacterial SSU rRNA". It matches the Rfam family "Bacterial small subunit ribosomal RNA", at positions 8 to 796 of the family's 1533-position model. The record is from RNAcentral.